RNAcentral lists this ribosomal RNA (971 nucleotides) under Streptococcus agalactiae GB00867. Its description in RNAcentral is "bacterial SSU rRNA". It matches the Rfam family "Bacterial small subunit ribosomal RNA", at positions 1 to 953 of the family's 1533-position model. The record is from RNAcentral. Lineage: Bacteria; Bacillati; Bacillota; Bacilli; Lactobacillales; Streptococcaceae.
UUUUAAUGAGAGUUUGAUCCUGGCUCAGGACGAACGCUGGCGGCGUGCCUAAUACAUGCAAGUAGAACGCUGAGGUUUGGUGUUUACACUAGACUGAUGAGUUGCGAACGGGUGAGUAACGCGUAGGUAACCUGCCUCAUAGCGGGGGAUAACUAUUGGAAACGAUAGCUAAUACCGCAUAAGAGUAAUUAACACAUGUUGGUUAUUUAAAAGGAGCAAUUGCAUCACUGUGAGAUGGACCUGCGUUGUAUUAGCUAGUUGGUGAGGUAAAGGCUCACCAAGGCGACGAUACAUAGCCGACCUGAGAGGGUGAUCGGCCACACUGGGACUGAGACACGGCCCAGACUCCUACGGGAGGCAGCAGUAGGGAAUCUUCGGCAAUGGACGGAAGUCUGACCGAGCAACGCCGCGUGAGUGAAGAAGGUUUUCGGAUCGUAAAGCUCUGUUGUUAGAGAAGAACGUUGGUAGGAGUGGAAAAUCUACCAAGUGACGGUAACUAACCAGAAAGGGACGGCUAACUACGUGCCAGCAGCCGCGGUAAUACGUAGGUCCCGAGCGUUGUCCGGAUUUAUUGGGCGUAAAGCGAGCGCAGGCGGUUCUUUAAGUCUGAAGUUAAAGGCAGUGGCUUAACCAUUGUACGCUUUGGAAACUGGAGGACUUGAGUGCAGAAGGGGAGAGUGGAAUUCCAUGUGUAGCGGUGAAAUGCGUAGAUAUAUGGAGGAACACCGGUGGCGAAAGCGGCUCUCUGGUCUGUAACUGACGCUGAGGCUCGAAAGCGUGGGGAGCAAACAGGAUUAGAUACCCUGGUAGUCCACGCCGUAAACGAUGAGUGCUAGGUGUUAGGCCCUUUCCGGGGCUUAGUGCCGCAGCUAACGCAUUAAGCACUCCGCCUGGGGAGUACGACCGCAAGGUUGAAACUCAAAGGAAUUGACGGGGGCCCGCACAAGCGGUGGAGCAUGUGGUUUAAUUCG